CCCGGUGAGUGUAAACUUAAACGGCCGCAGUUAAAAGCUGUGCUAAGGUAGCGUAGUAAUUUGUCCUUUAAUUAAGGAAAGGAAUGAAUGGUUUGACGUAAAAGCUUCUGUCUCUAAGGCAUAUUUAAAAAUUUUUUUUCUAGUGAAAAGGCUAGGUUAAAAUUAAAAGACGAGAAGACCCUUUCGAGCUUGGUUAGCAGGCUGUAGGGUUGUGCUUAUAGUAGUGAAUAUUUGGUUGGGGCAACAUAGGAGUAACUAGAGACUCCUUAAAUAAACAAAGAGCCAAAAAGUUUGAAAAAGGAAAAAGCUACCGUAGGGAUAACAGCGUUAUCUUUCUUAAGAGAUCAAAUUGAAGGAAAG
Molecule: ribosomal RNA, 360 nt
Filed under: Altenaeum charcoti
Lineage: Eukaryota; Metazoa; Mollusca; Bivalvia; Galeommatida; Montacutidae
Description: Mysella charcoti partial 16S ribosomal RNA
Rfam family: Bacterial large subunit ribosomal RNA
Source: RNAcentral